AGCGAACGCUGGCGGCAGGCUUAACACAUGCAAGUCGAGCGGGCACUUCGGUGUCAGCGGCAGACGGGUGAGUAACACGUGGGAACGUGCCCUUCGGUUCGGAAUAACCCAGGGAACUUGAGCUAAUACCGGAUACGCCCUUUUGGGGAAAGGUUUACUGCCGAAGGAUCGGCCCGCGGUCUGAUUAGCUAGUUGGUGGGGUAAUGGCCUACCAAGGCGACGACCAGUAGCUGGGUCUGAGAGGANGAUCAGCCACACUGGGACUGAGACACGGCCCAGACUCCUACGGGAGGCAGCAGUGGGAAUAUUGGACAAUGGGCGCGAAGCCUGAUCCAGCCAUGCCGCGUGAGUGAUGAAGGCCUUAGGGUUGUAAAGCUCUUUCGACGGGG
RNAcentral lists this ribosomal RNA (389 nucleotides) under uncultured bacterium. RNAcentral's name for it is "bacterial SSU rRNA". It matches the Rfam family "Bacterial small subunit ribosomal RNA", at positions 29 to 444 of the family's 1533-position model. The record is from RNAcentral.